This 203-nucleotide long non-coding RNA is filed under the name Rosa chinensis. RNAcentral's name for it is "sRNA RchiOBHm_Chr6g0274221". Lineage: Eukaryota; Viridiplantae; Streptophyta; Magnoliopsida; Rosales; Rosaceae. The record is from RNAcentral.
AUGAGUCUUUGUUGCAAGAGAAUUAGGAUCCUAAUGUUGUGCACAUGGAGGAUCUGCAUAUUCAUAUGGUGAUUUGUAAAGAAUCAGGAUCCCAAUGUUGAGCAUUGUGCUAUAGUUGUUAGGAAGUUAGCAUCAGAUGGCGAGUAACUUUGUAAACUGUGUCCUAUACCACAAAUUUCACAUAUAUUUCCUGCUUUUUUUUU